GAAGAACAGCUGUGAAGCUCAUCAAGAGGAUCAAGCAGGCGAGGGGACCAGUAUCCAAUCCCCUACAAGUUCCACUACCCAGAGGAGUUCCAUGGAGGAGGAUGGCUCGUUGUCUGAGAGGGUGGGGGUCUGUGGAGACCCUGAGUGCGACCAGGCUGAUGCAGCCAGUGAGGACCUGGAGCAGGAGGAACCUCUAGGUCCUUAUCAACCCAACAAGCCUGUGGGGUUAGGCUAUUUGGAACAAAGAACUGGAUUAUUCUGCAAGUUGUGCAAACUUUUCUA
This is a long non-coding RNA of Osmerus eperlanus (European smelt), 282 nucleotides long. RefSeq lists it as uncharacterized. Lineage: Eukaryota; Metazoa; Chordata; Actinopteri; Osmeriformes; Osmeridae. The record is from RefSeq and is a predicted model, not a curated record. The transcript is spliced from 3 exons.